GAUGAACGCCGGCGGUGUGCCUAAUACAUGCAAGUCGAACGCGUUGGCCCAACUGAUUGAACGUGCUUGCACGGACUUGACGUUGGUUUACCAGCGAGUGGCGGACGGGUGAGUAACACGUAGGUAACCUGCCCCAAAGCGGGGGAUAACAUUUGGAAACAGAUGCUAAUACCGCAUAACAAUUUGAAUCGCAUGACUCAAAUUUAAAAGAUGGUUUCGGCUAUCACUUUGGGAUGGACCUGCGGCGCAUUAGCUUGUUGGUAGGGUAACGGCCUACCAAGGCUGUGAUGCGUAGCCGAGUUGAGAGACUGAUCGGCCACAAUGGAACUGAGACACGGUCCAUACUCCUACGGGAGGCAGCAGUAGGGAAUCUUCCACAAUGGGCGCAAGCCUGAUGGAGCAACACCGCGUGAGUGAAGAAGGGUUUCGGCUCGUAAAGCUCUGUUGUUAGAGAAGAACGUGCGUGAGAGCAACUGUUCACGCAGUGACGGUAUCUAACCAGAAAGUCACGGCUAACUACGUGCCAGCAGCCGCGGUAAUACGUAGGUGGCAAGCGUUAUCCGGAUUUAUUGGGCGUAAAGCGAGCGCAGGCGGUUUGAUAAGUCUGAUGUGAAAGCCUUUGGCUU
RNAcentral lists this ribosomal RNA (626 nucleotides) under uncultured Lactobacillus sp. Its description in RNAcentral is "bacterial SSU rRNA". It matches the Rfam family "Bacterial small subunit ribosomal RNA", at positions 28 to 610 of the family's 1533-position model. Lineage: Bacteria; Bacillati; Bacillota; Bacilli; Lactobacillales; Lactobacillaceae. The record is from RNAcentral.